Molecule: unclassified non-coding RNA, 211 nt
Filed under: Ampulloclitocybe clavipes
Lineage: Eukaryota; Fungi; Basidiomycota; Agaricomycetes; Agaricales; Hygrophoraceae
Description: ITS2
Source: RNAcentral
AAUUCUCAACCACUUCAGUUUGUUUACCAAUCUGAAUUGGCUUGGAUAUGGGAGUUGCGGGCUUCUAAGCAAGUCGGCUCUUCUUAAAUGCAUUAGCAGAACUUUUGUUGACCAUCAUUGGUGUGAUAAUUAUCUACGCCAUCUGAAUGUGAAACAGUUUAUAUGGAGUUCAGCUUCCAACUGUCCAUUGACUUGGACAAUUUAUUGACUA